Molecule: ribosomal RNA, 425 nt
Filed under: uncultured bacterium
Lineage: Bacteria
Description: partial 16S ribosomal RNA
Rfam family: Bacterial small subunit ribosomal RNA
Source: RNAcentral
GUGGGGAAUAUUGGGCAAUGGGCGAAAGCCUGACCCAGCAACGCCGCGUGAAGGAAGAAGGUUUUCGGAUCGUAAACUUCUAUCCUUGGUGAAGAUAAUGACGGUAGCCAAGAAGGAAGCCCCGGCUAACUACGUGCCAGCAGCCGCGGUAAUACGUAGGGGGCAAGCGUUGUCCGGAAUGAUUGGGCGUAAAGGGCGCGUAGGCGGCCUGGUAAGUCUGGAGUGAAAGUCCUGCUUUUAAGGUGGGAAUUGCUUUGGAUACUGUCGGGCUUGAGUGCAGGAGAGGGAAGUGGAAUUCCCGGUGUAGCGGUGAAAUGCGUAGAGAUCGGGAGGAACACCAGUGGCGAAGGCGACUUACUGGACUGUAACUGACGCUGAGGCGCGAAAGUGUGGGGAGCAAACAGGAUUAGAAACCCUUGUAGUCC